Long non-coding RNA from Brassica oleracea var. oleracea, 1468 nucleotides. RefSeq lists it as uncharacterized. The record is from RefSeq and is a predicted model, not a curated record. The transcript is spliced from 5 exons. NCBI's taxonomy places the organism in Eukaryota, Viridiplantae, Streptophyta, Magnoliopsida, Brassicales, Brassicaceae.
UUGGCGACGCUCUUCUUCACGCAGCGGAACCAAUCUAGGUUCAUGCUUCUCUUGAUAUCUGAAACUCGAUAUCUGAAAGCUCAAGCGACAAUGGUGUCUUCAGAAAGUUUUUCUGCGACCGAUCAUCAUGGCAACUCUCUUGCUCGAGCUCAGUUCAUUCAGUUUCGUCUGGGAUUCCUUCUGAACGUUACAAACUGCAUUGAAUCAUCAUCAUCAUCAUUAACGACUGCCUUAAUUCUUCCAGCUACUCCUACCACGAUUUCCUCAUUCAUUGCAUCUUCCCCCUCUACAAGGCUGUUGAUCUCUAACUAUAAAAAGUUCUUAUCAGGUUUUCAAUCUAUGAAAGCUUAGAUCAUCUAUUGGAUUCUUGCUGUUCUCCUUCAGUCAAUUGGACCCUCCAACUCCUAUGCCAAAAGAUACAGUUUUGGAUGUUCUUAGUCUUAGUUGAUGUAAAAAACCAUCCGAUUAUCAUACUUGCAAAGCCUGAAAGCCUAGGACAAGUUGUUUGGUGGGGUGUUUAAGAUAAGCCAGAGCUGGUGUUUAUCUUCGGUGUGUAUAACAACUUGCUUAGCUUCAGGUUCUUUUCUCGAAAGCAAACUCCUUUGUUCAUCAUCAUUAAAGCCUAUAUUAACAUUUGAAACUUUCUUCUUAAUGUGGGAUUGUUAUGAACAUGGUUGUUGGAGGUGAGUAACCGGUCUCAAAAGCCUUGAGGAAAGCAGCAGCAUUAUCAUCACAGAGAUGCCAAUCGAUGUAUAGUAGAUUUAAUCCAUGAUAAAGUAAUAAACUUUGUUCUGUUUUUUUUAGCUUUGAUGAUUGGCUUGGAAUGUGCUUUCAUUUUGCAAAUUUCUGAGAUCUUAUAACAACCCAGGGUUCCUACGAUCUGAAGGACACCAUCAAAGUUAGUUUGAUGACUCUUAAGCUUUUUCCUGCUCUUGAGCUUCAAAUUAUAUGUCACAUGACCUUCUCUGUAGAAAUCAAUAGUUUGUGUUAAGGUACAGAGAAGAUGUCUCUCUGCUGCACUUAGCCAUUAUUUAAGUUGAUCACUUUGAACUUGAUCCAAAUUCUAAUCAGCUCUAAAGGAUGCGAUGUAAGCGUUGACAAAUGAAUACUACUGUCUUUCAACGUCUCCUUACUUUGUGAGCUGAUUCAGAAUAAAGAUGGAUCUCUAUAUUGGUGAUCUCUAUCUAUUCUUCACUGAUCAUAAAUAUUAAUUUACUUCUACAGGUCGGAUUGGUGAAUGAGGAUCAAUAUGCCUUUGAUGUAAGGAUAAAUAUUGUGAAAUUCUCUCUGUAGAAUCUUUGUUAUGGUGAUUCUGCUGAUGAUGAAAACAUCCACAUUCACGCAUGUAUACAUAUAUAUGUGAAGGCAAGUACUGUGUGUAAUGUAUCUGUUUGUGUGUGUUGAUAUGUAUACAUAUAACAUGGCAAAAGAUUAUUUUCUUUUUAUCGAGGAGACCUUUUAAAGUUAA